GCCUGAUGCAGCAACGCCGCGUGAGGGACGACGGCCUUCGGGUUGUAAACCUCUUUUAGCAGGGAAGAAGCGAAAGUGACGGUACCUGCAGAAAAAGCACCGGCUAACUACGUGCCAGCAGCCGCGGUAAUACGUAGGGUGCAAGCGUUAUCCGGAAUUAUUGGGCGUAAAGAGCUCGUAGGCGGUUUGUCGCGUCUGCUGUGAAAACUGGGGGCUCAACCCCCAGCCUGCAGUGGGUACGGGCAGACUAGAGUGCGGUAGGGGAGAUUGGAAUUCCUGGUGUAGCGGUGGAAUGCGCAGAUAUCAGGAGGAACACCGAUGGCGAAGGCAGAUCUCUGGGCCGUAACUGACGCUGAGGAGCGAAAGGGUGGGGAGCAAACAGGCUUAGAUACCCUGGUAGUCCACCCCGUAAACGUUGGGAACUAGUUGUGGGGUCCAUUCCACGGAUUCCGUGACGCAGCUAACGCAUUAAGUUCCCCGCCUGGGGAGUACGGCCGCAAGGCUAAAACUCAAAGGAAUUGACGGGGACCCGCACAAGCGGCGGAGCAUGCGGAUUAAUUCGAUGCAACGCGAAGAACCUUACCAAGGCUUGACAUAUACGAGAACGCUGCAGAAAUGUAGAACUCUUUGGACAC
This 635-nucleotide ribosomal RNA is filed under the name Microbacterium sp. Se1Ps_1964. RNAcentral's name for it is "bacterial SSU rRNA". It matches the Rfam family "Bacterial small subunit ribosomal RNA", at positions 381 to 1029 of the family's 1533-position model. The record is from RNAcentral. Lineage: Bacteria; Bacillati; Actinomycetota; Actinomycetes; Micrococcales; Microbacteriaceae.